Molecule: ribosomal RNA, 460 nt
Filed under: uncultured bacterium
Lineage: Bacteria
Description: partial 16S ribosomal RNA
Rfam family: Bacterial small subunit ribosomal RNA
Source: RNAcentral
CCUACGGGUGGCAGCAGUGAGGAAUAUUGGUCAAUGGACGAGAGUCUGAACCAGCCAAGUAGCGUGAAGGAUGACUGCCCUAUGGGUUGUAAACUUCUUUUAUAUGGGAAUAAAACGUUCCACGUGUGGGAUUUUGUAUGUACCAUAUGAAUAAGGAUCGGCUAACUCCGUGCCAGCAGCCUCGGUAAUACGGAGGAUCCGAGCGUUAUCCGGAUUUAUUGGGUUUAAAGGGAGCGUAGGUGGAUUGUUAAGUCAGUUGUGAAAGUUUGCGGCUCAACCGUAAAAUUGCAGUUGAAACUGGCAGUCUUGAGUACAGUAGAGGUGGGCGGAAUUCGUGGUGUAGCGGUGAAAUGCUUAGAUAUCACGAAGAACUCCGAUUGCGAAGGCAGUUCACUGGACUGCAACUGACACUGAGGCUCGAAAGUGUGGGUAUCAAACAGGAUUAGAUACCCUAGUAGUC